UGGGGAAUAUUGUACAAUGGGCGCAAGCCUGAUCCAGCCAUACCGCGUGGGUGAAGAAGGCCUUCGGGUUGUAAAGCCCUUUUGUUGGGAAAGAAAUCCUAUCGGUUAAUAACCGUUGGUGAUGACGGUACUCAAAGAAUAAGCACCGGCUAACUUCGUGCCAGCAUCCGUGGUAAUACGAAGGGUUCAAGCGUUACUCGGAAUUACUGUGCGUAAAGCGUGCGUAGGUGGUGGUUUAAGUCUGCUGUGAAGGCCCUGGGCUAAACCUGGAACUUGCAGUGGAUACUGGAUCACUAGAGUAUGGUAGAGGACUGCGGAAUUGAUGGUGUAGCAGUGAAAUGCGUAGAGAUCAGAAGGAAAAUCCGUGGCGAAGGCAGCAUCCUGGGCCAACACUGACACUGAGGCACGAAAGCGUGGGGAGCAAA
This 425-nucleotide ribosomal RNA is filed under the name uncultured bacterium. Its description in RNAcentral is "bacterial SSU rRNA". It matches the Rfam family "Bacterial small subunit ribosomal RNA", at positions 355 to 772 of the family's 1533-position model. The record is from RNAcentral.